GAGGAGCUCAAACUCAGGUGAGAUGGAAGUAACGCACGUGUGAAGCUGAGGAGAAGUUUUAUGUCCAAAGGUGCACGCGGAGUCUCCUGACUUGUAAUGGACAUUGAGAAGCUUUCAUAAGGUGAAUAUUUGUGUAUGCAACUGUUGAACUGCUUCGACAUGAUGUGGUGGGAUGUGUGUUUAUUUGAUAUGUUAAGCGGGAUCAGCGCAUUAGCGCAAAUUAGCAUGUAUUAGCUUUGUAGUAUCGGCUAAUGUUAUUGUCUAUUAUUGUGCAUGUUAAUGUUAUCGGCUAGCCUACGCUCAUAUAGACUUUGUGUGAUUAGUAAAUGAGUUAAUAGAAGAUCACGGAGAGACUCAAUGAUCUGUUAAUGUAUAGGGGAGAGUGGGGUAAGUUGAGCCACCCCCUGCUGCUUGGAAAUGGUAAAAAAAAUUGAACAUGUGACCAAAUAUUUAGGAGAUGGGCAUCAAUUCAUGGAGUCUGUGAAGGUUAGAAGCACAUGGAUGAAGGGGUUAGACAUUUAUUUACAAAAAAAAACAAAAACAUUUUUCACUCUUGAAAAUGAAUUUAGUCUGUCAUCAGUUUUAGUAGAAUUGUGUUCCAACCAGAAAAAGAUCAUUUUAAAUUUGUUUUAUACAUCAAUUGUGGUAUCUAUGAGCGGCAACAUGACGUCAAAAACCAACAUAAAAGUCCACCAUUUUGGCUUAGAGGACUACUAAAGUCAUAAUGGUAGUUCUGGGCUAAGGUGAACCAGUGGCUGAAUAGGGAUACGGCUGAACUUACUCCGCUCCUAUGGUCAACUUACCCCAUACACGGGGUAAGUUGACCACUGUAUUUGUCAGGCUAUAUUAUCAAGACAGUUUUGUUUACACUCAUUCUGUUGGUUUGCAUGGAUGAACAACAUCUUGAAAUAUAUGCAGAUACACUAGUUAGAGACAAAACUAUGAUUGCCUUGAUGUAGUGAUCCGAAAUAAGAAAAAUGGCUCAUUUUACCCCACUCUCUCCCUACAGUGAACCAGGAAGCUCUGAAGAGCAGAAGUCCCCCAACAAGCGCCCCAUGUGUCUGGACUGUUGCUGCUGUUAACUGUCCUGAGGGUGUUGGUCAUGACUCCCCUUGUCUUCACCUUAACCUUUCUCACUGCCUCUCAACCCAGCCAUGGAUUUGAAGUUGGAGGGAAGGUUUCGUGAGUAAAAGGUAACCAGCUUCUUUUCUAUACUUGCAAUAACUUGAUGUAGUAUUUAACUAAAUAAGAAUUCUUUGUGUCAUGUUUACACUUCAUUGAAAAAAAAAAAAUCAAUGAAUCCAGUCCACUCUCUCUUGUUUUUGGUCUUCUUCAGUGCACACACAGGCAGGUGCGAGUGGGUAGCUAUGGUUUUAGGGACACUGUUGGUCACUGAAAUGUUCUAUUGUAUUCCCAGUUAUUAAAAUCAAGUUUUAGUUAAAUGAUCACUUUUGCAGAGACUUUUCAGGACUGUGCUGCCUCACAGUGUGUGUCACAGAAACUUACCACAGUCUGAACUAUGUUUAAGUUUUAGAAAUAACGUAAUUCUUGCAAAUGUACAGAACAAAACUUAUGCUGUAGAUACAUAAUUAACAAACACAUGGCUGAAGCAGAGAUAUGUUAAUAUAUCAAAUAAUGCAAAGAGGACCAUACACACUAAAAGUGGUUUGAAGAAGAGAUAAAGUCAGUCUACUGUUGAGGUUAUUUUGCAGGCUGCAGUGUGGGUAUAGUUUCAGUAAAAAGGAUUAGUUUUGAAUGUGUAUUAAAUGAAUCAUCCCAUGGAUUGGCACAAUCAUCAAGGUCAUGAUUAACUAGGUCACUGAGUAAGAGUGGGACUGUUUCUACUCUGUUCACUCAGGCCAUUUAGAUGUGCAGCUAUUAAGAUGUAUGAAACAGUACAACUGCUUUGACUCAAAAUCAUUUCACAGGUGGUUAUGAGAGAUUAAAAUCAUCUUCAUAAACAGGAUCAUUUAUCACCAGAGUAGGCUCAUUAGACAGCAUGCAGUCUGGGCACAAAAUUUUGGACCGUACUUCUGUUAUUUAUUAUUAUUUAUAUUUGAUGAUCUCAUAUUGAUGUACUGUUUGCUCUAUGAGCCGAGCAUGAAAAAAUGACUUUUGUGAGGUCUAUUUUUGUGCAUUUGAAACACAGGUAAAGGGAAAAAGGCAUGCUCUGACAAGCCCAGCACUGAUGUACUUAAAAGGUCCCCGCUCAUCAGCAACCUUUCUGCUUGAUGUUUGAGUCUGGUCUGGUAAAAUGGAAAGACUUUACUCUGUAUUUUAUGCUGAAUUUACCAGCAGGUUGAGUUUAAUCAGCCUAUUACAUGAGUAAAAAAAAGACUCUAGAGUGUCUGGAGACCAUCUGUGUUUUCAUAUGAGGAAUAAUGUACUACAAGAGAAUAAUUAACCCCUGGAGGAUGACUGAAGAUCUACCUGUAACACAGAUUGUUUUCUUUAGAUCAACAGAUUUCCUAAUUAACAAAUGUCCCCCUUUGUUUGGGUGGGUGGGUGGAUGGGUGGGAUAUUCCGUCAGCAGUUUACUCCUAUUUUGGAGUUUUGACAGUGCAGUCUUGGCAGUGUAUUGGUUGUUGUCAAACCACUUAAGCAAGCUCAUCUGCUCACCACAAACAGUCUAGUAAGCCAAGUUCAUGUUGCGUGGCGUAGAAUGGAAAACACAAAUAAGGGACCAGACUGCCCAUCCCUGCAGGUUUUAGGCUGUGCGAAAGGGAAAAGCAGUGCUGGACUGUUGAUUUUGCAGAUUCUACCAUGGUCUGAUAAAGAGAGAUGAGGAUUUAAUCCUUUGGUUAAAAAAAAAAAAAAGUUUUGGUUCAAACAGUCAUGCAACUACAUGACCUCAUUUAAGGUCAGUGGUCUUUUUCAUAAUAAAUGUCAUCUGCAAAGGUUUUAUAGUUUGUUGAAAAUAUUUUAUCACAAAAAUUACUGGACUAAUCCCAACAUUUUUUUUUAAAAUCUUACUGGAUAUCCUGAACCGUCAGUCCUUAGUUAUGUGUCAAACAUGUAGUGAUACAUUAUGUAUAACAGAACUAUAUAUAACAGAUUCUACAAAUGGGCGAUUUCUCUGAAACGUUUCUAAAGCAACCAAUUCACAUUGUCUUGUGUUGAAGUGUGUUGUCUUUACUGGUCAUGGUCUUAGUUGUAUUAGUGAUAUUAGCUUGUAGCCUGAUGCUAUUUAGCUGGUGAACUGUGGUGAAAUGUGCCUAGAUGAGACUCUUGAGUAACUGCAGCUGUAACUAAUUAUUAACAUUCUCCUCGUGAGAAAUGCUAACUUGUCCUGUUUUGUACACCUCGGAGAGGACUGGUCGCCUGUUACUGACUUGCUUCCUUGAUACUGUUUAGUAGCAGUGAGUUUUCACAUUAGGGUCAGCUCUGUGAGCCCCCAGGAGACUGUAAUGAACUCAAAAGCACAGGGUGAGGAGGUAUUAUUUCUGAGGAUGACUUGCUGUUGUCAUCAGUAGUGGACAAUUUGAGGCAGAGGCCGGGCUUUUCUUUGUCAAAGGAAGCUGAGACUCAUGGUUGACUGACGGGCACACAUCUCCCCUGAGCAUUGACAGUCUGACAUGCCUUUCUUGCUCGUCAUGCUUGUCAGGCUGCCUUGUGGAGAUGCAGAAAAUUGUAUGUUGUCCUCUCAGUCUGGAAAAUGACGCUUUUUCAGUCACUUCAAUUAUUUUGAUCCAUUUGACCUACAUAAAGUACCAAAUUUUGAAAAGUGAUUUCCUUUACGUACUUACACAAGUGCCUCUUUUGUUUUUGCUCUUCCAUUCUAAGUAAACAUAUUCAAUGAAGAGCUUUUCUUAAGGUUCGGUACUCAACAUAUAACCACAAUAACUUUCUGUUCAACACUAACUACGAUUUAUGUGAGGAGAAGAAAGUUUUGAUUCAUUUCCAGGGUUUUUCCUGGCUCAAAUUGAGGCAGAGGUGGCACCAUCCUGACCAUGCGCCAUGACGCGCAUAUAUUUGUAAAUUCAACUGUCUCACUUUCUUUUACAGGCAACAUACUUUAAGUUCAGAGUUCAAAAAAGAGUGUGACCAUUAUCAUGUUAAAGCAUUCAUUUAUUAAAACUAUAUACAUACACAAAUCAGCUGGCAACUUUAAAUUGAAAGUACACUUCAUCCACACAUCUCGCAACCAGACAGAACAUUUCAGCCUCCUCUUUUUCAUUCUGUAGAACCUCCUCAUGCACUUCUUGUAGUCCAAGGCCUCCUGGUCUGGUCCAUCAACAGCCACCUUACAACAGACAUCCAAGUGCCUCUCCUUCAGUCUGUUCCACAGAGGUGUCUUCACCUUAAACAAAACAAUUCAUCAUGCAUUAAGUAUUUUUGUUUUUAUUCUGAUACAGACAUGAAGAGUGAUAGUGUUUUCAAUCAUAUAUUAUAUAUAUGUAUACGCUGCAGUGUCCUCCCUAAAAAAAAACGACAACUAAUUAUUUCUUAAACUAUCUAAACUAUGUUCUUUUAGUUUUAUUUAUUUUUUAUUAAUUAUUAGUUAUUAUUUAUUAGUUGAGUGUUUUUAGGUACUACCAUCUUUAAUAUAUUUCUCCUUCUCUUCUGCUGCUUUGUGAACGGCUAUCAUCUCAUGUCUUUUUAAUGUGUCCAGCCUGUAGUUGGUUGAUGGCUGUCUCACUAAGGAGGCAGCAAUUGCCUGCUGUGUUGGGGCACAGUGCUUUUGGCAUAAAUAGCAGUGCAUGCCUUCCUCAGUAUGCCUGAGCCAGGUAAAAUGAUUGAGCCAUUGCUUGUCAAAGCCACUGGCUCUGUGUUUUUGAGAAAAUCUGGAAAGAGGAAUAAAACCACGUACACGUUGGCUUUGCGUUGUUAUGCUCCUAAUUGGAAACUAAUUAAUUAAUUACCCUCGCCUCGCCGACUCGUCCUGUCCUGCAUUCUGACCCUCGCGAUCACCAGUCCCUUGUGAACUACUUUCAGACCUGACACAAAUUUCCACGUUGUCACCACUAUGAAUUAUAGCAUUUUAACUGCCUAUUACGUUUUUUCUCUGCUGUGUUUCACCUGGACUCUUGACUUUCCUCCUUGCGAGGUCGCUAAAGUACUGGCUGAUUUUGCCUGUCAUAUCUGCAACGCUAAAAAACGGAGGAAACUUUUUUUUUAAAUAAACACGUCAUGCUUGGAUGCAAAAAAGACAAGCAGUAUUUACCUGUUUGUACCAUCCGCCAGGGAAAAUCAGGACGCCGAUAGCACCAACUAGCGGGAAAAAAACUUGAAAAAACAUGAUUCGAUCCGUUUCUUCUUCGGUAGAUGCUUCAGGUCUUUCCGGUGCACUGCUGUUGAUAUAGCGCCUCAAUAGUGGCGCAACGCUGCAACUGCAGUUAAAAUACGUUGCUGCAGCAGAGGGACAUCAUACACUCAAUCAACACAGCUGGAGCUUUACGCUGUGUUGAGCGAAAUCAAUCGCUCUGGCCGGGGGCGGCACAAAAUUAGGUGGAGGCGGCCGCCACGCAAUUUUGAACGCAGGAAAAACCCUGAUUUCUCUAACUUGGUACAAAUUGGAGCAUUCACAGUGAUGUGUCUUUCCAUAUUUGUUUAGAGGUGAUCAAAGUCCCCCCCGCCCCCGUCAAUACUUAGGCCUCGUCUCAGCAGAGGUUAACACAAAUUAAAAUGCAUGACUGAUAUUGCAACAGGCCAGUAAUUUACCACAUGGUUUGCUGAUGCGUGGUAAUGAUCAGUAUUGAAUGCCAAGCAUGAUGUCUCAGAUUGCAGCUAUGGUUAUUAAUGCAUGAUGUCAAAACCAAGCGGAGAGCACGAGGAAAAAUGUACCCAGGAAUAUUUUCUUUGCCUUGAGAUCGUAGCUUUACAGUGAUUAUGACCCACUUAUGACCAUCAAAAUUGAGCUGUGCCACGUUCAAACAAAAUCUGUCGGUUACUGGAUCGCGUGAGAAGCUUUGGAUGGACGUCACCUGUCUGGUAUGAAGAGAUUUGGUUGAACAGUUUUCUGCUCUGUAACAAGAAAUCUAUUUUGAGCAUGAAAUUCCCCACAAGUGGAAGAAAAAUGCGGAGGAAAGGUUCUCUGGAGGUUGAACAGAGGCUAGAGAGCAAGAAAAGUAAUUCCCGCUGCAAAUUCUGCCGAGGUUAACCGCCCUCUCCAGCUAAUGACCCCUCAUGCCUCGUGUAUUUGACCUCCAUUGGUUGUGAUGUGACAAAUUCCCAGUAGAGGAAAGUGACAAAAAAACCUGUUUUACUCUUAAUAUUGGCUAAGAAGGGCAAGUGAAGAUUUCAUGUUUGGCUUGAUGCUGAUUUUUUACAAAAGAGCAUUCUGCAUUAGCAAUAUAGUCAAAAACCUCCUCUAGCAGUAAAACCUUAUUCCGUUGUUUCUACUAUCGUUUAGAUUUCUUGUGUAUGUAUUCAGAGUUUUUAUUCUCGUCAAAAAUUUUGCUUUGAUUGGGUGUUGGUGGUGAAAUUGUGGCACCUGUCUGGCUUGACGAAAGCCUCAUUAGACGGAGACUUGCUCAUCAUCAUGAUACACCAGAUGGCAGGCUCAGUACUUGGGGGUGAAACUGAUAAUUCUGAGGCUGCAUUUUAACACGAAACUUAAUUAAGACAUCAUAACACGGCUGACCCAGCUAAAAAUAUCACAGCAGGCUGAAAUGAUUAAUCAUAAUCAGUUUUCCAGCCAUAUUUUGCUGCCAUCACUUCACUGCUGGAGGAAUGAAAAACAGUCUGUCCUCUUUUCACACCAACCAGUGGCUUGGAUGAAUUUUGUUGAACAGAUUUUUUUUUUCUGCUUAAGGAUAGCUCUAACCAGCUAAAAGACUGUUGUUGUUGUUUUUAUUAUCUCAGAAAGUACCGUCAGCUUUUUAUAUCAGUGGAUAAAUAACUAAUUCAAACUGCUGUGCUGCACUAAAACGCUGACAUGCUCAGUCAUCUCAGGACUCUGUUUUGCUGUCAGCACAAACGUUCAAAACACCAACUUUAUUUGAGUGGAAAAUAUGUUGAUCCUGCCGAUUUUGAUUAAUUUCCUGUCCGUCUCUGUCAAACAGAUAUAUUUGCUUCUAUUAAUGAUGCUCAUUCCUCACAGCAUUUUUGUUUAACCCCUCCCACAGUUAGUGAGCUGGUCAACUCCUUUUCUUUGUAUUCAAUGUUAAAUAAAGAGGGGACGUUUGCUCCAAAGUGAAAAAAUAAAAGGAUAUUAUUCUUUAUCUCGUCUUAUCUGCUCUGACUCCAGCCACCCGGACAGUUAAUAUUAACUCGUGUUAUUACUGGCUGUUGUAAUAUAAGUUUAACUGUGAAAUUUCAUAAAUGUGAGGCUCUUUCAUUUAGAGUCAUUAUCACAUGAUGUUGAAAGAUGGCGACCUACUUUGUAGAUAUUAAAGGUUCAGGUCUGUGUAGCAAAAUGUUUUUUAUAGAUUCAACAUGAUUGUAGUUAUUAGGUUGCAUUUCUACGAAGUUUGUACUGCUAGGUGUUUCAGAUUUUAAGUACGACUAAAGCAGAAAAGUGUCUGGAUGUAACUCCAGCCUGUUUUUUCUUUCUUUUUUUCUUUUGUGUUCUUUUUCCUCCAAAUAGGCGAAAACAGCACAUCAUAAAUCACAUACGCUUAGAGUUCAUGUGGUGAAUUGAGAGUGGUUUCUUUUUGUUUAUCAAAGGCCAUUGAAAUGUGCAUAUAUUUUGUUGUUGUGGGAAGUUCAAAGAUAAUAGUAUUAUUUAUAUUCGGUCUUGUUUUGUGUUUUGGCUCAAUGAAAAGCUCACCGGUUGUUCUGCUGUAGUUUCUCUUGCGCUCCUCAUGGUGAGUUUAAUUUAGCUGCUCCAUGAAGAAUGCCUUUUCGUGCGGUGUACUUAUACUUUAUCUUCUUCUGCCAGGAUUUUACAUCAGACAAUGUUUGAAGUGUACAGAAAUAUGAAUGUUGUUUAGACUGUUCUGAGUAUUUCUCUCCCUCAUGAUAUCAAAGUUAAGUUGGAUCUCAAAUGGAACAAAUUAAACAGGUAUACUAUAUGUCAUUCGGGUAUAAUAAGCACAAACAUAAUAUUAAAUCUACAUUUAAAUACUCACAGUCAGCCAUACUCUGGUUCACACAAAUUAAUUCCUUUUAAUUUAUUGGCAUAUCAUGAACUUUCUAGUUAAACUGUAGUUUAUCUCUUUUAUCUAUUUUUAUUCCCAGAGUUUACUUAAUACUGUUCCUCCACAAUUAUAUAAUCACAUCCCAAAAAAUAAACCAAUAACACAGUCCAUGAUUUUCAAUUAUAAAGUAAUAAGUGGAAAUGUUGGCCUCUUUUUCAUUCUCUAGUGAAAACAGCUGCAGGGCUUUAUGGACAUUGUUAUCACGCAUUAUGUAAUCGUUCUCAUUAACAAGGGUGAGGGUCAAACAGUAAUUGCAGCGUGACCCUGAACCUGUGAGUGAGGCUGUUUGUGCUGUACCUUCCCCCAGUAAGUCAAAAGACACUAAAUAGGUUUUGCCUUCUGUGUUUAUGAAAGGAGUUACUCGGUGCCCAGAAGGAGUGUUUUGUUUGGCCACUCAGAGACCAUUUUUGGAGUUGUAUCUGGAUCUAGAUCAUGCUUACUAUACACUUUGGUAAAUAAAAAAAAAACACUAUACUUUUUCUUGCCUUUUCGAAGGAGCAUCUUCCAUUAGGCUGUGCUUCACUCAGUCCCAAUAUACCAUAUAUUUUGUACCUAUUUUUUUGUACCUCUUAAUUCUGUUUUUGUUUUUUUCUCUUUUUUUAACUUAUCUAUUGCACUAGAAACUCUGAGAAGCUCUGAGAAACUCUGUAAUCUCGUUGUACUUCAUUAUGAUGACAAUAAAGGGCAUUCUGAUAGGAGAUAGGAGGUGGCGCUCUUCUAGUUUAAGCUUUCUACAUUCAAUUGACCACCAUUGCAGCCACUACCACCAACUACUACGCGUAACUGAGAAUUCGAGAAUUCAGUGCAAGCAGAAAAUGUGAGCACAAAAGAUACUUAGUAGAGGGAUUUAGGAACCGCUUUUUAACUGUUGUUUCUCCGCACUCCUGCCUACAACUUACAGUAAAUAAAGCUGUUGAAUUGAAAUGACUCCUUAGUUUAACACAAGUGUGGAAGUGUGUGGCUUAUGUCUUGGCAAAUUAGUAUUGUGUGUUGGAUCUAGUGGGCAUCAACUCCUGUAUCAGUAGCCAGAUGGACUGCCAACGCCACAUGGUGAAUUACGCACACGACUAUCCACACGGUCAAGGUUACUAGAAGCAGAUUUGAUACUGAAAACAUACAACAAACAAACUUUUUUUUAAAGUAAAGUAGUGGUUGCAAUGAUUCCCAAAAUAGCAUAUAAUGUUAUUCUUUCUUUCUUUCUUUCUUUCUUUCUUUUGUUUAAUGUAUUUUUUCUCUUUUUCUUCUCUUAUUAAGGAUUCAUUCCACUUUGAAUUCAACUUUAUUUGCCCUAAGGAGUCUCUAGGUAGAGCUUCCCAAAAAGGAGGUUUUUCUUCACAUUGUUACCACAAGAAACGUUCUUCCCGUAAUCAAGUGCAGCAACAGGUGAAAACACAGCGAACUCCAUCAGACCAUCAUAUUAGGGCACUGCACUCUCUCCAGCUCUCUUGUCAGAUUUCAAAGAACCAAAGCCGGUCCCUCUCCCUCUCAUCUUCUCUUCCCCUUUCCUCUUUUCUCUCCUGUCACCUGAAAGGCCAUCUGUUAGUUUCCAUCUCUGCCUCUGUCUCUAAUGACUGAUCAAUACUAAAUUGGUGCCAAGAUCACAAGAUACUGUUUUUUUUUCUUUUUAGCAGGUAUCAUUUUUUCAAAGAUAUCUGAACCAAUAAGCGGUAAGAGUCAUGUUUAUAGCAUGUAUAGUGAAAAGCAGAGUAGUGCAGACCUGUAAUGAUUUAUAACAGAUAAAUACUGGCUGGUUUGUAUUUUCAAUGAGCAAAAAGUAUUUGUUCUUGUUUCCAGUCAACUGUAUGAUUGGUGUGUUUACACAGGGAGUUAUCCAUUCAGUCUUUUUCACUGUGCAGAUUAGUCUUGCUUUGGAGGCAAUAACCACAAAAUCUGGUCCGGACAUGAAAGCUUUAGGGGAUAAAAGCCUUUGUUUGUUCCUCAUUUUCAGUUAUAAAAAGAGGGAAAAGGGAAAGGGAAGUGAAUCACACGUAUGUAAUACACCUAAUAAAGGUGCAGUUCAUAUCCAAGACUAUUUACACAUGUGUUCUCUCUGGUUCUGUGGAAAAUGUUUUGGAAACUAACCCUGGGCUCUGCAUAUAUUGUACUUUUGGACAUUUGGUCUUUUUGAUCUGAGUGAGCACAUGCUUCACAGGAUAUUAAAGGGAAUUUUGAAGACAAUUCUGAGGUUACUUAACCAUUAUGAAAGCCAAAAAGCAGAAGCAAAUAAUUACAACAACGUAAUUCUGAUAAAUAUUGUUGUCAAAAACUGCCAGGAGGUGCAGUUUUCUGAACAGCUGGGUAGUCCUUGUCGAUCCUUUUAAUUAUAUUUCAUCAAAACAAGUUAAUGAAGAUUUUGACGCGUUUUCAGAAAGCUGUGAUCUGGCUGGUCUGUCUUCAGUAUUAUCAUUAUAAUGUUAGCAGUGUUACCAAAACUUUGACACACACUUCUGAAACCACCUUACUCUGUAUGUAGGACUUGGGGGACAAACUCUUGGUUGUUUCCCUUAUGAUAUAAAAUAAAGUCACGUACAGAAAUAAAUGUAAUAACAGUAAAAGGGACGCACUGAUGUGUCAGCUGAACAACAAUUUCUACUAAUAUUUGUCCUGUCCAGAGAUAUUGGCUUGUCUUAAUGUACUACACCAAUAUGUCCAACAUUAACCAACUGGUUCUCAUGAUAGUUAAUUUAAGCUUAAUUACCUAUUAAAUAGGGCUGUGACGAUACGCUUUUACCCCAAUUCGAUUCCUCUACGAUCUUUUGGAUGCUGAUUCGAUUUAAAUUGCAAUUCUACAAUAUUGUCAAUAUUUUUUCAAUUUUAGUCUGCAUUUUAAACACCAGUGAAAAAGUUGAAUGAUUAUGAUUGUCUACUGACUCUUCCAGGAACCAUAUUUCCCCCCAAAAUACACAUCACAUAUAAGUCAGAUUUUCAGAAUUUUUUUUAAAUUUGAAAAAAAAAAAAAGAUUUUUGAACAUAAAAAACGAUUUAAAAAUUGUAAAACAAAAAACUGCGAUACUUAUGUGAAUCGACUUUUUUCUCCCACCCCUACUAUUAAACUACUUUUAAUCUCUGCUGUUCUUAUUCUCUUCAAGAGUUUCUUAUCGUUUUAGUCCUGUUUUUACCAUUUUAUUCAUUUAUUUAUUUCCUUUCUCCUUUAUCUGUCCUUUAUCCAACUUUUUUCCAUCUUCUUGAUGUGAUGCUUUCAAUCAUCAACUGUCAUCAAUUUAUCUUUGUUUCUGCAAAUCUGAGUCUUUAAGUCUUUGCUUGACCUGAUCGUUAAUUUAUUCUUUACUGAGUUCUGCCUUUCUUUUAUCUGUUAAAGCACUUUCUAAACGUCUGAAUUUAAAGUUACAAUAUAAAUAGAAGUUAUUAUUAUAAUAUUAUUAUUAUUUAGAGGUUUAUGUAAUGUCCAGGCUUUCUUCAGGUACACACCAAGGGGUUAACUUUUUUCACUUUCUCUUAUAAUUUUGGCAUGAAGACAUCCUACCUUCUUCACUUCUAUUUUCUACUUUUACUCACCAUUUGGAUGUCCAUCACUGCUUUUCUAAACUCUGGUCAAGCCUAUUAUUUGGCUCGGGAUGUGCAACUUUAUUCUAGUUGGGGGUAUUUUUAGAGCACAAUGACAUCUCAGACAGCUUAAACCAACUUUGUGGCUGCAGUUUGAGAAACAUCAGUUCCCUCUUCCUCCUUAGCUACUGGCUCAGUUGCAUUCAAGACUCUGGCCUGACAGCAAAUGAGUGCAAAACAGGUUUGACAUACACCACAGUUGGCAUAAAAUGUCAGACCUGCAUAUGCGUAAUGAAGUUGAGAUGAGGUUUUGUGAACAGCUGGGCUCUCUGCCUGCCAUGCAAAUCAUGCAGGCAUACUGUUUCUGAAUCCCUGCUGAAGGGUUAGGUGGCACAUAUUCAAAUAUUAGACUUCCUAUUCUGAAUUCAGUCUAUACCUAUAUGUGGCAGAAUGGGACAAUAAUAAUAGCAUACCAAAUACCAAAUAGAUACCAAAUACUGCCCUUGUUAUGAGACCUUGGAUAAUAAUGCAAAAAUGGGGCAGGUUUUAAAAAGGGGACUGAUAUCCUGACCAGCUGGUUUAGGUGUUAUUAACUCAUAGAUGGUCAUUAUCAGUCAUCAUAUAGAGCAUGAAUAAAAGGCAGUGUUUUGGGGGGGAUUAUAAUGCUUUUCCAUAUGCAGUGUUUGAAUGUUUGGUGUCCAUACUAGAUGUAUGCAAAGCUCCAAAUCACGAGGUAAACAUAUUCUGUCAUAAUGAUAGCAAAUAUAUGUAAACUGCUCAAGUUGAGGGCCAACAGCAACCCCCAAAAUGUGAAUUUUUAUAGAAAACUUGAGCAUUUUUACAGCCUGGUAGAAACAAUGGUUUUGAUCUUAAUAGCGCCUUUAUGGUUUUUUAACAACUCCAGCAUUUUGGUUACAUUAAGGCUUAGAGUUGUGUAUAAAAAUUUACACAACAGGCGAGGUGGCUCGCCUUAGCCUCACAUCUUUGCUGCUUUGUGACUGGAAGUUAUUUCGAGUAAGAUUAAGCGUUUGGGGUGCGGUAACCCUUACGUUCGGGCUUUAAAAUGCAUCUUUAGGAAAUGAUUCUUGAUGUCACUCAUUCAUGCCUGAAGAAGAAUUAAUUAAAGCUGCUGUGAGGAGUUUUUCAUUCGUUGUGAAAUGGACUCAAGUUCACACUGCUACAUUUUUAGGAUCUACAAAAGCAAACAAGGUCAUCGGCCAAAAGAUCGAUUAUUUCUCCAUUGUAAUAUUUAAUGCCUGAAACCACUUUGAGGGCCCAGGUUUCAGACAGAACGAUAGAUGGCACACCUUAACAUUUAACUCUUACAAAGAAAAGCAGGAUGCAAUUUUUAGUUGUAUAAUUCCAUCUAGGCAUGUACAAAACAAGCCAUGAGGUGCUACUUUUGUCCACAAGGGGGUGCCAGAAUCAGCACAAACCAACAGUUUCUUACAGCAGCUUUAAAAAAACAAGGAGCAUAAUCGAGGAGCAAAAACUGAUCCUGCACCUUCAACAAAUCAGAAAGACAUUUUUGUUAAUUGUAUCUAUCCCAUCAAACAGAUUGAACAAUGGAACAUUCGCUGAUCAACUUACAGUAUUUUACUCUUAAUAAUUCUCUAAAUGUUCUUGUUAAUUAUGAAGAUAAUCAUUUAUUAAAGGCAUAGAAAGAAAAUGCUUAUUAGAAGUGGGAGGCCAAAAUUAGAAAGGAGAAGAGAAAAAAAGGAAAAUGCUUAUGAUGCUGAGAUAAUUCCCUUGUCUUCAGUCCUCCCUGAAAAAUAUGUCUGAACUCUAAAGAGCUCAAUUAUAAACACUGCGGCUAAAGUUAGAUCAGUUAUAUGCCAGAAAAGCCAAAGGAGCAAUUACACUCUCAAGUGGGUUGAAGAGGGGGCGCAGAAGUCCAGUCUCUUUUACACGCUGGAUAAACAAAGGCCAAAUAAAAAUGGUAUAAGACCACUCUCUUAACGGCACAGUGGUAAACAAGCCAAAAGAUGUGUGAAUAACUACUAGAGUUUAUUUCAUUCAGUGGAUGAAUUUUGAUUGAUAUUCAUAAUCUUUAUUUUAUAGAGGUGAUGCAAUGUUGUAAUAAUAUCAGUGUCUGUGGCACUGAACUCUGCAGAGAGGUAGAGCGAUUGAAGGGUGUGUGCCCUGAGUAGCAGCAAAACCACCCCCUCCCUGUGGAGUCCAGACACCGGAGAUGGAGGUGUUGAAUGACGCCGUCGUCUGAGCCUGAUGAGAUGAUGGAGUUGCACAAAACUAUGAUGGCUGAGUGGUGAUUUGGGAGACGACUGAUGAAGUCAUCCAGGGUUGAUGAAGCUGAAGAGCCGUGAAGAGUCUGCCGCCAUGGACAGAUUGCUGACAACUAUAUCUACUACUGAUUAAACAGACGAGGCUGUGAGUCAGAAAUACAAAACAGUGUUGGCUUUAAAGAGGAAGUUCCUGAACUUUUCCGUGCACUCCCGCUGGUGUGACUGACCUACCAUUUAAUGUUUAAUGAUGUUUUCUGUGUAACUUUUCUUUGUUGUGUUUCAUACUGUCAGCUGUCAAUGCUUCUGGACACAGAACACAUACCCACCUCUCCCUGUCUGCCUCACUGUGAACCUAAGAGCUAAAUAAACUCAUAUCUGUCUUGUG
This 14213-nucleotide long non-coding RNA is filed under the name Xyrichtys novacula (pearly razorfish). Lineage: Eukaryota; Metazoa; Chordata; Actinopteri; Labriformes; Labridae. The record is from RNAcentral.